Molecule: ribosomal RNA, 603 nt
Filed under: uncultured fungus
Lineage: Eukaryota; Fungi
Description: eukaryotic LSU rRNA
Rfam family: Eukaryotic large subunit ribosomal RNA
Source: RNAcentral
ACCCGCUGAACUUAAGCAUAUCAAUAAGCGGAGGAAAAGAAACCAACAGGGAUUGCCCUAGUAACGGCGAGUGAAGCGGCAUCAGCUCAAAUUUGAAAUCUGGCUCUUUUAGGGUCCGAGUUGUAAUUUGCAGAGGGCGCUUUGGCAUAGGCAGCGAUUCAAGUUCCUUGGAACAGGACGUCACAGAGGGUGAGAAUCCCGUACGUGGUCGCUAGCUCUUGCCGUGUAAAGCCCCUUCGACGAGUCGAGUUGUUUGGGAAUGCAGCUCUAAAUGGGAGGUAAAUUUCUUCUAAAGCUAAAUAUUGGCCAGAGACCGAUAGCGCACAAGUAGAGUGAUCGAAAGAUGAAAAGUACUUUGGAAAGAGAGUCAAAAAGCACGUGAAAUUGUUGAAAGGGAAGCGCUUGCAGCCAGACUUGCCUGUAGUUGCUCAUCCGGGCUUUUGUCCGGUGCACUCUUCUGUAGGCAGGCCAGCAUCAGUUUGGGCGGUUGGAUAAAGGUCUCUGUCACGUACCUCUCUUCGGGGAGGCCUUAUAGGGGAGACGACAUACUACCAGCCUGGACUGAGGUCCGCGCAUCUGCUAGGAUGCUGGCGUAAUGGCUGU